Sarcophilus harrisii (Tasmanian devil) is the source of this 159-nucleotide small nuclear RNA. Its record names the gene U4. It matches the Rfam family "U4 spliceosomal RNA". From Rfam's summary of the family: U4 small nuclear RNA (U4 snRNA) is a component of the major U2-dependent spliceosome. The structure of U4 snRNA from yeast and human has been reported. U4 snRNA presents a k-turn RNA motif in the 5p-SL related to recognition of Snu13 protein. The record is from Ensembl. NCBI's taxonomy places the organism in Eukaryota, Metazoa, Chordata, Mammalia, Dasyuromorphia, Dasyuridae.
AGCUUUGUGCAGUGUCAAUAUCAUAGCCAAUGAAGUUUAACCUAGGUGUGAUUAUUGCUAAUUGAAAGAACUGGUCCAAUUGUUGAAACAAAACUUCCACACAUGAAAACAAUUGUGAAAAGCAACGAUGAGUUUUCAAUCUUUACAAUGAUGUCAAUU